AUGGCCAUCAUCUCGGACAUCCAGGAGGAGGAGGCGCCGCCGCCGCAGCAGCAGGCGGCCCCGGCGGCGGUCGACGUGGACCUGGAGGUCCUCGAGGCGGUGCUCGAGCGCAAGGGCGGCGCGCUCCCGUUCCUCCACGCGGCCAUCGACGUCGCGCACCGGCGCUCCGACCUCUUCCGCGACCCCUCCGCGGUCGGCAAGGUCACCGCGAUGGCCGCGGCGUGCAGGGCGCAGGUGGAGGCGGAGGAGAGGAAGGCCAGGGACGCCAAGAGGAAGGCGGCGGAGCUGGAGAAGGCGGCGGCGGCCGAGAAGGAGAGGGUGGUCAAGGCCGCGGCCGAGAAGGAGAAGCGGGAGAGCUCGGUGGUGACGGAGGGGCGGGUUGCAGGGAGCUCGGCGGAGAAGGAUGCCAGCACGGAGGUGGAGAAGAAGGAGGGCAAGGCGAACAAACCAAAUGCUGGCAAUGGUCUUGAUAUGGAGAAGUAUUCCUGGACUCAGCAGUUACCAGAGGUUAAUGUCAAUGUCCCUGUUCCUGAAGGAACAAAGUCAAGGUUUGUUGUCUGUGAGAUUAAGAAGGAUCAUCUGAAGGUUGGGUUGAAGGGCCAGCCUCCGAUCAUUGAUGGUGAGCUUCACAAACCAGUUAAAGUUGAUGACUGCUUCUGGAGCAUAGAGGAUGGGAAAGCACUGUCUAUACUACUGACAAAGCACAAUCAAAUGGAGUGGUGGAAAUCUGUGAUCAAAGGUGACCCUGAAGUCGACACCCAGAAGGUGGAACCAGAGACUAGCAAGCUUUCUGAUCUGGAUCCUGAGACUAGGCAAACCGUGGAGAAGAUGAUGUUUGACCAGCGCCAGAAGCAGAUGGGCCUGCCAACAAGUGAUGAAAUGCAAAAGCAAGACAUGCUCAAGAAGUUCAUGUCCCAGCACCCGGAGAUGGACUUCUCAAGGGUGAAGAUAGCUUGA
RNAcentral lists this ribosomal RNA (957 nucleotides) under Triticum aestivum (bread wheat). RNAcentral's name for it is "partial small subunit ribosomal RNA". Lineage: Eukaryota; Viridiplantae; Streptophyta; Magnoliopsida; Poales; Poaceae. The record is from RNAcentral.